Molecule: long non-coding RNA, 967 nt
Organism: Helianthus annuus (common sunflower)
Lineage: Eukaryota; Viridiplantae; Streptophyta; Magnoliopsida; Asterales; Asteraceae
Exons: 2
Source: RefSeq, a predicted model, not a curated record
AGAGCUUACGCCCCUUUACAUUAUUUGCAAAGUUACUUAAUUUCAAGUCAUGAUAUGAAUGCUACUAAGUGGUUGGUAUAUGAUAUUCCGACGCGAUUCAAUGAGAGUUGGAAUGAGGGGAAAAUGGUAAAUUAGUCAUGUAAUGACGAAUAAUUAAAAACGGUUUUAAGUAAAACAAGUUCAAAGAAAACCGGGAUAGGUAAAAGGGGUGAAAUGGUAAUUAAAUACCAUCUCAACACGGACAAAUGGUCAAUUAGACUAAAUGGGUCAAAUGGUGUGGAUAACACCAUUUGGCAAUAACAAUUGACAAUCGCUUGUUGAGUUUUGUGAUUUCAGGAAAUAACAUGUGUUGCGUUGCUUUAAUUAGAAAAUUUAAAGCAAGAAGUAUGUAAACGGGUCAAUACUAUGAUCCGAGCCAGGUGAAGAUGGGAUAAGCGGUUUGAAAGAUACGAAAGUUUUCGUGCAAAUAAACGGCAAAAUAGGAAAGCUGGAAUGCAGGGGCCACCGUAACUUACGGUGCCACCGUAAGUUACGGUGGAGCUGAAGGCUUUACGGCAGCCCCAUACUGAUUUACGGUAGGGGCAUGUCACACCAGGGGCCAACGUAACUUACGGUGCCACCGUAAGUUACGGUGGAGGCCAGUUGAAAAUCCAUGUUUUGAGAUCAAAAGUUUAACGUUGGGAUUCUUUUUCCUUCCAUUAUUAUUACCGGAUUUGUUUAGACUUAUCACAUUUCCCGUAUGACUAAAGCAUUUCAUGUUGAUGAAAUGUAGGUUCUUUUUGGAUGCCGGAAGACGAUCAAGCUCGUCGAAGGACCGAACACGAUAAAGAUACAUGCUUCCGCACAUUUCCUCGUCGUAAAUUUUUAAACGACAAACUCGAUCACUUAUGUUGAAUAACUUAUGAUUUGUAAAAGUUUUAAUAAACUCGUAUUUUCAUAGUAUGUGUAAACUUAAUUACACAUCUAA